AGGCCUAACACAUGCAAGUCGGACGAGAAGGUUCCUUCGGGAACUGGAGAGUGGCGCACGGGUGAGUAACGCGUGGGGACCUACCUCUUAGUGGGGGAUAACGGUUGGAAACGACCGCUAAUACCGCAUACGCCCUUCGGGGGAAAGAUUUAUCGCUAAGAGAUGGACCCGCGUUGGAUUAGAUAGUUGGUGAGGUAACGGCUCACCAAGUCAGCGAUCCAUAGCUGGUUUGAGAGGAUGAUCAGCCACACUGGGACUGAGACACGGCCCAGACUCCUACGGGAGGCAGCAGUGGGGAAUAUUGGACAAUGGGGGCAACCCUGAUCCAGCCAUGCCGCGUGAGUGAAGAAGGCCUUCGGGUUGUAAAGCUCUUUCAGAUGCGAAGAUGAUGACGGUAACAUCAG
RNAcentral lists this ribosomal RNA (404 nucleotides) under uncultured Alphaproteobacteria bacterium. RNAcentral describes it as "bacterial SSU rRNA". It matches the Rfam family "Bacterial small subunit ribosomal RNA", at positions 44 to 484 of the family's 1533-position model. The record is from RNAcentral. Lineage: Bacteria; Pseudomonadati; Pseudomonadota; Alphaproteobacteria.